Molecule: ribosomal RNA, 828 nt
Filed under: Triticum aestivum (bread wheat)
Lineage: Eukaryota; Viridiplantae; Streptophyta; Magnoliopsida; Poales; Poaceae
Description: partial small subunit ribosomal RNA
Source: RNAcentral
AUGAUAGUUUUGGCAAUUAGGUUGCAGAGGUACUAUCUAGCAUCGGUCAAGGAAUUAAUGCGGAUCAAUGGUACUACAAAGUCCGCCCUAGCGAGUCACUUAGGUGAAUCGAUUGCAGGGGAUAUAACGAUAAGGGCCUUUGAGGGAGAAGAUCGUUUCUUUGCUAAAAAUUUGGAUCUUGUUGACAAGAAUGCUAGCCCAUAUUUCUGUAAUUUUGCAGCAACUGAAUGGUUGAUUCAAUGUAUAGAAAUAAUGAGCGCCAUAGUUCUUUCUUCUUCUGCCUUUGUCAUGGCUCUUCUUCCUCAAGAAACUUUUAGCCCUGGUUUUGUGGGAAUGGCAUUGUCCUAUGGUCUUUCGCUAACUACAUCAUUUGUUUUCUUUACUCAAAGCCAGUGCAACCUUGGGAAUCAAAUAAUCUUGGUGGAACGGGUGAGCCAAUACAUGGACAUACCAAGUGAAGCAGCAAAAGUCAUUGAAGACAAUCGACCAUUACCAGAUUGGCCCCAAAAUGGCAAUGUGGACAUUAGGCAUUUGAAGAUCAGGUAUAGGAUAGAUGCUCCCCUUGUACUACAUGGAAUCACUUGCAAUUUUGAAGGUGGAGAUAAGAUUGGUAUAGUUGGUCGAACAGGAAGUGGCAAGACAAUGUUAAUUGGUGCAAUGUUUCGCCUUGUUGAACCUGAUGAAGGGAAAAUAAUCAUAGACUCUGUGGAUAUCAGUACGAUAGGCUUACAUGAUCUGCGGUUGCGUUUGGGUAUCAUUCCACAAGACAACACUUUUUCAGGGUACAAUAAGAUACAAUCUAGAUCCUCUUGGGCAUUUCUCAGGUGA